GGCAAAUGAACCACCUGGUGCUUCCACUACUUCCUGAAAAUGAGAGGCUGCUCAGGAGGUGGAAGCAGCUACAUUCCAAAUGGUCAGUUUUUUUGCAGACUCUGAUUGCAAGAUUCAGAGACAGGGUCAACAACAGGUUCCAAAGUCACAACCAGCCAUUGAGGUUCCAAUUUAGAAAUGAGGUGGCAAGGAGAGGAUCCACCUCCUGUUAAACAUGGGCAUGAAGGAGGAAACUAGCUGCCACCUUGUCAGUGAAGAUUUCGCACCCCAUGUGACCCACCAGAAUGCAAAUAAGUGUGAGGAAGGUGGUUCUGGAAGUGUAUUGCAGAAGGGAACCAAAAUUGAGUUAGCAGCAAGUUUAUUGUUUGAUGGCAUCUUCUUCUCAUAAUACGUAAAAACCUGUCACCACGUCAAACCUCAGUUUAUUCAGACCUUCCAUCUGGGAAGUAGUAGCAUUUCCCUGCUCAAUGUCCAUUUGGAUGAGGGCAGGGUUGGAUCUGUGUUAUUGGAUAGCAAAUUGUAUUUAUCUCAAAGGAACCCACCAUAAACCUAUGCAGGAGAGAAGAUUUCGCUCAACAAUGGUGGACAGAUAGAUAGUGUUUCUUCAAAAAAAUUCCAAAAUAUUUUAUUAUAGGGUUAAGUUCACUUUGCCUAGUCCCCCCUUGUACACUUUAAUGUUUGACUUGUGGGAUUUC
Non-coding RNA from Chiloscyllium plagiosum (whitespotted bambooshark), 695 nucleotides. The record is from RefSeq and is a predicted model, not a curated record. NCBI's taxonomy places the organism in Eukaryota, Metazoa, Chordata, Chondrichthyes, Orectolobiformes, Hemiscylliidae.